This 492-nucleotide ribosomal RNA is filed under the name uncultured bacterium. RNAcentral describes it as "partial 16S ribosomal RNA". It matches the Rfam family "Bacterial small subunit ribosomal RNA", at positions 29 to 507 of the family's 1533-position model. The record is from RNAcentral.
AGUGAACGCUGGCGGUAGGCCUAACACAUGCAAGUCGAACGGCAGCACAGUAAGAGCUUGCUCUUACGGGUGGCGAGUGGCGGACGGGUGAGGAAUACAUCGGAAUCUACUUUUUCGUGGGGGAUAACGUAGGGAAACUUACGCUAAUACCGCAUACGACCUACGGGUGAAAGCAGGGGAUCUUCGGACCUUGCGCGAUUGAAUGAGCCGAUGUCGGAUUAGCUAGUUGGCGGGGUAAAGGCCCACCAAGGCGACGAUCCGUAGCUGGUCUGAGAGGAUGGUCAGGCACGGUGGAAGUGAGAAACGGAGCAGGCUACAAGGGGAGGCAGCAGUGGGGAAUAUUGGACAAUGGGCGCAAGGGUGAUCCAGCCAUACCGCGUGGAUGAAGAAGGCCUUCGGGUUGUAACGCCCUUUUGGUGGGAAAGAAAAGCAGCAGGUUAAGACCACGCCGUUCUGACGGUAGCCAAAGAAUAAGCACCGGCUAACUUCGUG